This 73-nucleotide transfer RNA is filed under the name Canis lupus familiaris (dog). It matches the Rfam family "tRNA". From Rfam's summary of the family: Transfer RNA (tRNA) molecules are approximately 80 nucleotides in length. RNAcentral also lists the same sequence under 1 other name. Lineage: Eukaryota; Metazoa; Chordata; Mammalia; Carnivora; Canidae. The record is from Rfam by way of RNAcentral.
ACCUGGCUGGCUCACUCAGUAGAGUACACGACUCUGGACCUUGGGGUUGUGAGUUCGAGCCCCAUGCUGGGUA